Molecule: transfer RNA, 75 nt
Filed under: Streptomyces hygroscopicus
Lineage: Bacteria; Bacillati; Actinomycetota; Actinomycetes; Kitasatosporales; Streptomycetaceae
Also listed under: 25 other names
Description: tRNA-Cys
Rfam family: tRNA
About the family: Transfer RNA (tRNA) molecules are approximately 80 nucleotides in length. Their secondary structure includes four short double-helical elements and three loops (D, anti-codon, and T loops). Further hydrogen bonds mediate the characteristic L-shaped molecular structure. tRNAs have two regions of fundamental functional importance: the anti-codon, which is responsible for specific mRNA codon recognition, and the 3' end, to which the tRNAs corresponding amino acid is attached (by aminoacyl-tRNA synthetases). tRNAs cope with the degeneracy of the genetic code in two manners: having more than one tRNA (with a specific anti-codon) for a particular amino acid; and 'wobble' base-pairing, i.e. permitting non-standard base-pairing at the 3rd anti-codon position.
Source: RNAcentral
GGCCGUGUGCCCGAGUGGUUCAGGGGCUCGACUGCAAAUCGAGUUACGUGGGUUCGAUUCCCGCCACGGCCUCCA